GGUAAGAUAUGCAAAUGGUUGAAGAGGCGCUUUUGCUAAGGGUGUAGAUCACAUAAAACCGAUGCGAGGGUUCGAAUCCCUCUCUUACCU
This 90-nucleotide transfer RNA is filed under the name Lactobacillus sp. RNAcentral's name for it is "tRNA-Ser". It matches the Rfam family "tRNA". From Rfam's summary of the family: Transfer RNA (tRNA) molecules are approximately 80 nucleotides in length. Lineage: Bacteria; Bacillati; Bacillota; Bacilli; Lactobacillales; Lactobacillaceae. The record is from RNAcentral.